ACGAGGCAAAUAUUGCAAAAUAACGCAAAUCUUUUCGUGAUAUCUAAUUCAAUAUUUCCGUAAUUUUUACAUAAUUGUUACGGUUUCAAUAUCAAACAAUCGUAAAAAAAAGAAAGUUGAUCUUGGACAAUUUUUUGGUAAAUGUGAUUAACUGCUCGAAGUCAAAGAAAUCGUGUAACCUACUUCGUAGCUAGCGAACUGCAGGCGUAUCUCCGUUCCAUCGAGUGCACCGCCUACGUAUAUACCUUCUAUAACAUCUUAAACAUAUCACACUGAGGUUUUUGUAAUCGCUGCUAACCACACAUUGAGGCGCAAAGUGUAAACCUGUCAUCAUGGUGGAUCGCCUAGUUAACUCGGAGGCCAACUCCAGGCGUAUAGCUAUGGUAGAAAGCUGCUUUGGUAGCUCAGGCGUGCCUUUGGCAAUUCCUGGACGGGUGCUAGUUGGCGAAGGAGUUCUCACUAAAAUGUGCCGCAAGCGUCCAAAGUCCAGACAAUUCUUCCUCUUCAAUGAUAUCUUAGUGUAUGGUAAUAUUGUUAUUGGGAAGAAGAAAUAUAAUAAGCAGCAUAUUAUGCCAUUGGAAGAAGUGUCACUUGAAUCAUUAGAAGAUAAUGGUCAAUACCGAAAUGGCUGGCUCAUACGUACCACAACAAAAUCUUUUGUUGUUUUUGCCGCUACCAGCACUGAAAAGCAGGAAUGGAUGGCACACAUCAACAAGUGUGUGGAAGAUUUGUUGCGCAAGAGUGGCAAGAAGCCCGUUGAAAAUCACGCUGCCGUAUGGGUGCCUGACGCUGAGGCCACCCACUGUAUGCAUUGCAAGAAAACUCAAUUCACAAUGAUCGUACGUCGUCAUCAUUGUCGUAAUUGCGGUGCAGUCGUUUGCGGGCCUUGUUCGUCGAAGAAAUUCCUAUUACCUCAACAGAGCUCUAAGCCGGUGCGUGUGUGUACCGCUUGCUAUGAACGGCUGUCUAAAGUCGUCAAAAUAGAAUCGUCCAAAACGGCUCUUGGAACUACUGCUGGAAACCAAGGGACACCUGCAGCGUCCAUCGAUGGUAAUGGCGCUGGUGCAGUAGCGAAAUUAGCUGAUAGUUCUGGGGAUGAUGAUUCCGACGAGGAAGGCGCUGGCAAUGUUAGCGAAAUGCACGAUGAACCACGUUUCUACGGUGAUACAACUUUGUCGGCUGAUGAAUCUACAGCAUCAUCAGCGGCGCUCAAUUCCAGCCACACACCCAGUGUUAACAACUGAUGCGUGCAGUCAACUGCGUUGGUGGGGGGUUUAUUAGAAGAAAGCGGUGACGGGCAUGGGGACAAAUGCCGUCACAAUGUCAGAUGUAGCGAAACAACAAAAUGAAACAACUGAAACAAACCAGCCAGAACAGCAAGAGGAUGGACGUAAUAAAAAGGUGUGGCACUUCGUCUGGCAACGAAAAGGAUUAACAAAAAUAUUCUUCCCUGGAAAUGGAAGAAGAAGAACGUAAAAAACGUGAAGAAGCACGCAUUAAGGAGUUGCGAAAGCUCACUACAUUUAAAGCACGACCAAAUCCUUUCAAGUAGACUCCUACCAACAACCACAGUAAUACAUAGAUAUAUAGUUAUAAAUAUGAUUUAAACGCCACAUGUUAAUAUACAUAAAUAUCAAUUAAAAUAUCAAAACACAAA
Molecule: unclassified non-coding RNA, 1657 nt
Filed under: Rhagoletis pomonella (apple maggot)
Lineage: Eukaryota; Metazoa; Arthropoda; Insecta; Diptera; Tephritidae
Description: targeting protein for Xklp2, transcript variant X2
Source: RNAcentral